Molecule: long non-coding RNA, 1118 nt
Filed under: Oncorhynchus kisutch (coho salmon)
Lineage: Eukaryota; Metazoa; Chordata; Actinopteri; Salmoniformes; Salmonidae
Description: lncRNA (ENSOKIG00005023755.1)
Source: RNAcentral
GUAAAGUUACAACAUCAAAUCAGAUUUUAUUGGUCACAUACACAUAUUUAGCAGAUGUUAUUGCGGGUGUAGUGAAAUGAUAACACCGUAGUCAGUGAUCUGUGGUUUGUAAUCCAUCACUCUCCCAUCCUGUUCUCUCUGUAGUCAAAACAUGGAGCAAGGCGGCCCAUCUCCUCCAUGUGUUUGAGGGACAUAACCAACCUGUCACCAACCUGGUCCUGCACCCUGACACCCCUCCAUCUUCAUCUCUGGCUCUCUGGACGGUACAAUCCGCCUCUGGUGCCUGGACACCCUGACCCAGCUCUGCAGUGUAACAUGUGUGAAGGGGGUUAUGGGACUGGGGCUAACAGAGGAGGGGCUGCUGAAUGCCUGGUCUCUGAGGAACAUGCAGCUCUACCAACCUAACUACUUCCUGGACUUCUGGAGCCACCUGCGCUGCCUAGCCCUCUCCUUCACACUGUGCAAGGCCCUGGACAAGCCCACAUACCUUCUCACCCUGGGGGAGGGCAACAGAUGGUAAGAAGUUGUGCAUAAUGCCCCCACACCCCUUCCACUCACUGCUGAAAGUCCUGCCUAACUUUGCCUAUGGCCGGGCCAGUCGGGCCAUCGCCCUCCUGCUCAGCUCCUGGGAGAUCUGGGUCUACACAGCCAGGACUGACCCAGUGUUCCGUGUGGCUAGGUUGGAAAUCAGGGAGAUGCAGCAGCUCAUUGCUUACAUCAUGCCAAAGGACAGGGCAUGUGUAAAGAGAACCCUGCUCCUUACACAUGGACAGUCCACCACUGACCUCAUACAGACCCUGGAUGAGAUGAUACCAGCUCCCUGCCUAACCUACCAGUCCCAUCUCCUCUCUGUCUGUCCUUCAGAACCCUGCUCCUUACACAUUGUUACGUUCCCCAGAUUGUGUGUUGUAGUUUGUGUAUUUACAUGUGUUUAUUUCAGGAAAUGGCUUCCUGAAAUCCCUCAAGCAGCUGAUUGGUCGACUCCAGGGCUAAUUGGAGAGCUGACCCCGCCCCCUCGUCAAGACGCAGCUGUCUACAAUUACCCAUUCCUUCUGAAGCUAUAUAAAAGCCAGUGUUCUGUUCAGGAGGGAGAUCUUUUUGGAGAGAGAUUUUGCUAG